This 212-nucleotide ribosomal RNA is filed under the name uncultured bacterium. RNAcentral describes it as "partial 16S ribosomal RNA". It matches the Rfam family "Bacterial small subunit ribosomal RNA", at positions 524 to 767 of the family's 1533-position model. The record is from RNAcentral.
UACGUAAAAGACUAGUGUUAUUCAUCUUUAGUAGGUUUAAAGGGUCCUAGACGGUAUAAUUAGUCUUAAACAAGAAACGGUUAUGCUAGAGUUAUAUAUGAGAAGGGGAGUAUUUAUGGAGUAGAGUUGAAAUUCUUUGAUCCCAUAACGACUGGUAGCGGCGAAAGCAACCUUUUAUCUAAUAACUGACGUGAGGGACGAAGGCUCGGGUC